GGUGAUGUCCAUCUAUGAGAGGGGAUGUGUGAUCUACGAACCCUUGUAGACCGUACAGCAGAAGCGUUUGUGAACGCGGUUGAUGUAGUGGAACGUCCUCACGUCCCUCGAUCCGCCCCGCGAACCGUCCCGCGAUCAGUCCCACGAUCUAGUGCCGAACGGACGGCACCUCCGCGUUCAGCACACGUACAGCUCGACGAUGAUCUCGGCCUUCUUGAUCCAGCAAGAGAGACGGAGAGGUAGAAGAGUUCUCCGGCAGCGUGACGGCGCUCCGGAGUUUGGUGGUGAUCUUAUCUCAGCAGGGCUCCGCCCGAGCUCCGCAGAAACGCGAUCUAGAGGAAAAACCGUGGAGGUAUGUGGUCGGGCUGCCGUGGAAAAGUCGUGUCAAAUCAACCCUAAAACCUCCGUAUAUAUAGAGGGAAGAGGGGGAGCCUUUCCUUGGGGUCCAAGGACCCCUAAGGGCUUCGGCCGAGCCAAGGGGGGCAGCCCUUCCCUUCCAAACCGAGUCCAACUAUGUUUGGAAGGAGGAGUCCUUCCCCCUUUUCCCACCUCCUCUUUUUUUUUCUCUUUGAUUUUCUUCCUAUGGUGCAUAGGGCCUUCUUGGGCUGUCCCACCAGCCCACUAAGGGCUAGUGCGCCACCCCCAAGGCCUAUGGGCUUCCCCGGGGUGGGUUGCCCCCCGGUGAACUCCCGGAACCCAUUCGUCAUUCCCGGUACAUUCCCGGUAACUCCGAAAACCUUUCAGUAAUCAAAUGAGGUCAUCCUAUAUAUCAAUCUUUGUUUCCGGACCAUUCUGGAAACCCUCGUGACAUCCGUGAUCUCAUCCGGGACUCCGAACUACAUUCGGUAACCAACCAUAUAACUCAAAUACACAUAAAACAACGUCGAACCUUAAGUGUGUAGACCCUGCGGGUUCGAGAACUAUGUAGACAUGACCCGAAAGACUCCUCGGUCAAUAUCCAAUAGCGGGACCUGGAUGCCGAUAUUGGAUCCUACAUAUUCUACGAAGAUCUUAUCGUUUGAACCUCAGUGCCAAGGAUUCAUAUAAUCCCGUAUGUCAUUCCCUUUGUCCUUCGGUAUGUUACUUGCCCGAGAUUCGAUCGUCAUUAUCCGCAUACCUAUUUCAAUCUCAUUUACCGGCAAGUCUCUUUACUCGUUCCGUAAUACAAGAUCCCGCAACUUACACACAAAGUAUUCCUCCCGUGUCAGUGAGUUAUAUGAUCUCAUGGUCAUAGGAACAAAUACUUGACACGCAGAAAACAGUAGCAACAAAAUGACACGAUCAACAUGCUACGUCUAUUAGUUUGGGUCUAGUCGAUCACAUGAUUCUCCUAAUGACGUGAUCCAGUUAUCAAGCAACAACACCGUAUUCAUAAUCAGAAGACACUGACUAUAUUUGAUCAACUGGCUAGCCAACUAGAGGCUUGCUAGGGACAGUGUUUUGUCUAUGUAUCCACACAUGUAUAUAAGUCUUCAUUCAAUACAAUUAUAGCAUGGAUAAUAAACGAUUAUCUUGAUACAGGAAUUAUAAUAAUAACUAUAUUUAUUAUUGCCUCUAGGACAUAAUUCCAACAGUAUCCCACUUGCACCAGAGUCAAUAAUCUAGCCCUCACAUCAUCAUGCGAAUUACAUUGUAAUAAAUCUAACACCCAUACAAUUCUGGUGUUGAUCAUGCUUUGCCCGUGGAAGAGGUUUAGUCAGCGGGUCUGCUACAUUCAGAUCCGUGUGCACUUUGCAUAUAUUUACGUCCUCCCCUUCGACGUAGUCGUGGAUGAGGUUGAAGCGUCAUUUGAUGUGUCUGGACUUCUUGUGAAACCGUGGUUCCUUUGCUAAGGCAAUGACACCCGUGUUGUCACAGAACAAGGUUAUUGGAUUCAAUGCACUUGGCACCACUCCAAGAUCCGUCAUGAACUGCUUCAUCCGGACACCCUCCUUAGCUGCCUGCGAGGCAGCCAUGUACUCCGCUUCACAUGUAGAAUCUGCUACGACGCUUUGCUUGGAACUGCACCAGCUUACCGCACCCCCAUUAAGAAUAAAUACGUAUCCGGUCUGCGACUUAGAGUCGUCCGGAUCUGUGUCAAAGCUUGCAUCGACGUAACCCUUUACGGUGAGCUCUUCGUCACCUCCAUACACGAGAAACAUCUCCUUAGUCCUUUUCAGAUACUUCAGGAUAUUCUUGACCGCCGUCCAGUGAUCCACUCCUGGAUUACUCUGGAACCUACCUGCCAUACAUAUGGCCAGGCUAACGUCCGGUCUAGUGCACAACAUUGCAUACAUGAUAGAACCUAUGGCUGAAGCAUAGGGGACGGUGCUCAUAUGCUCUCUAUCCUCAUCAGUUGCUGGGCACCGAGUCUUACUCAAUCUCGUACCUUGUAAAACUUGCAAGAACCCUUUCUUGGACUGUUCCAUUUUGAACCUCUUCAAAACUUUAUCAAGGUAUGUGCUUUGUGAAAGUCCUAUUAGGCAUUUUGAUCUAUCCCUAUAGAUCUUAAUGCCUAGAAUGUAAGCAGCUUCUCCUAGGUCCUUCAUAGAGAAACUUUUAUUCAAGUAAUCCUUUAUGCUCUCCAAAAACUCUAUGUUGUUUCCAAUCAGCAAUAUGUCAUCCACAUAUAAUAUUAGAAACGCCACAGAGCUCCCACUCACUUUCUUGUAAAUACAAGAUUCUCCAACCACUUGUAUAAACCCAAAUGCUUUGAUCACCUCAUCAAAGCGUUUGUUCCAACUCCGAGAUGCUUGCACCAGUCCAUAAAUGGAUCGCUGGAGCUUGCACACCUUGUUAGCGUUCUUAGGAUCGACAAAACCUUCGGGUUGCAUCAUAUACAACUCUUCCUUAAGGAAACCGUUAAGGAACACUGUUUUGACAUCCAUCUGCGAGAUUUCAUAAUCGAAAAAUGCAGCUAUUGCUAACAUGAUUCUGACGGACUUAAGCAUCGCUACGGGUGAGAAUGUCUCAUCGUAGUCAACUCCUUGAACUUGUGAAAAACCCUUUGCCACAAGUUGAGCUUUAUAAACGGUCACAUUGCCGUCAGCGUCCGUCUUCCUCUUAAAGAUUCAUUUGUUCUGAAUAGCCUUGCGGCCCUCAGGUAGUACUUCCAAAGUCCACACUUUGUUCUCAUACAUGGAUCCUAUCUCGGACUUCAUGGCUUCUAGCCAUUUGUUGGAAUCUGGGCCCACCAUUGCUUCUUCAUAAUUUGCAGGUUCAUUGUUGUCUAACAACAUGAUUGACAAGACGGGAUUACCGUACCACUCUGGAGCAGCACGUGGUCUCGUCGACCUCCGUGGUUCGACAGAAACUUGAACCGGAGUUUCAUGAUCAUCAUCAUUAACUUCGUCCUCAACCGGCGUCGCAACGACAGAGGUUUCCCCUUGCCCUGCGCCACCAUCCAGAGGGAUGAGAGGUUCGACAACCUUAUCAAGUUCUAUCUUCCUCCCACUCAAUUAUCUCGAGAGAAACUCCUUCUCGAGAAAAGCUCCGUUUUUAGCAACAAACACUUUGCCCUCGGAUUUGAGAUAGAAGGUGUACCCAACUGUCUCUUUUGGGUAACCUAUGAAGAAGCACUUUUCCGUUUUGGGUUCCAGCUUUUCAGGCUGAAGCUUUUUGACAUAAGCAUCACAUCCCCAAACUUUAAGAAACGACAACUUUGGCCUUUUGCCAUACCACAGUUCGUAUGGUGUCCUCUCAACGGAUUUUGAUGGUGCCCUAUUUAAAGUGAAUGCAGCUGUUUCUAAUGCAUAACCCCAAAACGAUAACGGCAAAUCGGUAAGAUACAUCAUAGAUCGCACCAUCUCUAAUAAAGUACGAUUACGACGUUCGGACACACCAUUACGCUGUGGUGUUCCAGGCGGUGUCAACUGUGAAACAAUUCCACCUUGUCUUAAGUGAGCACCAAACUCGAAACUCAGAUAUUCACCCCCACGAUCAGACCGUAGGAACUUGAUCUUCUUGUUACGAUGAUUUUCAACUUCACUCUGAAAUUGCUUGAACUUUUCAAAUGUUUCAGACUUGUGCUUCAUUAAGUAGACAUAACCAUAUCUACUCAAAUCGUCAGUGAAGGUGAGAAAAUAAUGAUAUCCGCCGCGUGCCUCUACGCUCAUCGAACCACACACAUCGGUAUGUAUGAUUCCCAACAAGUCACUUGCACGCUCCAUUGUUCCAGAGAACAGAGUUUUAGUCAUCUUGCCCAUGAGGCAUGGUUCACACGUGUUAAGUGAAUCAAAGUCAAGUGACUCCAAAAGUCCAUCGGCAUGGAGUUUCUUCAUGCGCUUUACACCAAUAUGACCUAAGCAGCAGUGCCACAAAAAUAUGGCGCUAUCAUUGUUAACUCUAACUCUUUUGGUCUCAAUGUUAUGUAUGUGUGUAUCGCUAUCAAGAUUCAAUAUGAACAAUCCUCUCACAUUGGGUGCAUGACCAUAAAAGAUGUUACUCAUAGAAAUAGAACAACCAUUAUUCUCUGACUUAAAAGAGUAACCGUCUCGCAAUAAACAAGAUCCAGAUAUAAUGUUCAUGCUCAACGAGUGCACUAAAUAACAAUGAUUUAAGUUCAUAACUAAUCCUGAUGGUAACUGAAGUGAAACUGUGCGGACGGCGAUUGCAUCAACCUUGGAACCAUUUCCUACGCGCAUCGUCACUUCAUCUUUCGCCAGCCUUCGUCUAUUCCGCAGUUCCUGUUUCGAGUUGCAAAUAUGAGCAACAGAACCGGUAUCGAAUACCCAGGCACUACUACGAGAGGCGGUUAAGUACACAUCAAUAACAUGUAUAUCAAAUAUACCUGAUUUUUCUUUGGCCGCCUUCUUAUCAGCCAGAUACUUGGGACAAUUGUGCUUCCAGUGACCCAUACCCUUGCAAUAGUAACACUCUGUUUCAGCCUUAGGUCCAGCUUUGGGUUUCUUCGUCGGAUUGGCAACAGGCUUGCCGCUCUUCUUUGAAUUACCCUUCUUGCCUUUGCCGUUUCUCUUGAAACUAGUGGUCUUAUUCACCAUCAACACUUGAUGCUCUUUGCGGAGUUCAGACUCUGCGACUUUCAGCAUCGCAAACAACUCGCCGGGAGACUUGGUCAUCCCUUGCAUGUUGUAUUUCAGCACAAAGCCUUUAUAGCUUGGCGGCAGUGAUUGAAGGAUUCUGUCAGUGAUAGCUUCUUGUGGGAGUUCAAUCCCCUGCUCAGCUAGACGGUUUGAGUACCCAGACAUUUUGAGCACAUGUUCACUGACAGACGAGUUCUCCUCCAUCUUGCAAGCAUAGAAUUUAUCGGAGGUCUCAUACCUCUCGAUCCGGGUGUUCUUCUGAAAGAUAAACUUCAACUCCUGGAACAUCUCAAAUGCUCCAUGACGCUCAAAGCGACGUUGAAGUCCCGGUUCUAGGCCAUACAAGACUGCACAUUGAACUACUGAGUAGUCCUCCUUACGUGCUAACCAAGCGUUCUUAACAUCCUGAUCAGCCGUAGAGGGUGGUUCAUCUCCUAGCGCAGCAUUAAGGACAUAAUCCUUCUUCCUAGCUUGUAAGAUUAGUUUAAGAUUAUGAGCCCAGUCUACAAAGUUGCUUCCAUCAUCUUUCAACUUUGCUUUCUCUAGGAACGUAUUAAAAUUCAGGGUGACUGUCGCGUGAGCCAUGAUCUACAACACAAAUAUAUUCAAACUGGACUUAGACUAUGUUCAAGAUAAUUAGAGUUUAACUUAAUCAAAUUACUCGCUAAACUCCCACUCAAAAAGUACAUCUCUCUAGUCAUUUGAGUGGUUCAUGAUCCACUUACACUAGCUCAAGUCCGAUCAUCACGUGAGUUGAGUAUAGUUUCAGUGGUAAGCAUCCCUAUGCUAAUCAUAUCAUCUAUAUGAUUCAUGAUCGACCUUUCGGUCUCAUGUGUUCCGAGGCCAUGUAUGCACAUGCUAGGCUCGUCAAGCUUAACCCGAGUGUUCCGCGUGCGAAACUGUUUUGCACCCGUUGUAUGUGAACGUUGAGUCUAUCACACCCGAUCAUCACGUGGUGUCUCGGAACGACGAACUGUAGCAACGGUGCACAGUCGGGGAGAACACAAUUUCAUCUUGAAAUUUUAGUGAGAGAUCACCUCAUAAUGCUACCUCGUUCUAAGCAAAAUAAGGUGCAUAAAAGGAUUAACAUCACAUGCAAUUCAUAAGUGACAUGAUAUGGCCAUCAUCACGUGCUCCUUGAUCUCCAUCACCAAAGCACCGGCAUGAUCUUCUUGUCACCGGCACCACACCAUGAUCUCCAUCAACGUAUCGCCAUCGGGGUUGUCGUGCUACUCAUGCUAUUACUACUAAAGCUACAUCCUAGCAAAAUAGUAAACGCAUCUGCAAGCACAAACAUUAGUAUAAAGACAACCCUAUGGCUCCUGCCGGUUGCCGUACCAUCGACGUGCAAGUCGAUAUUAUCUAUUACAACAUGAUCAUCUUAUACAUCCAAUAUAUCACAUCACGUCGUUGGCCAUAUCACAUCACAAGCAUACCCUGCAGAAACAAGUUAGACGUCCUCUAAGUUUGUUGUUGCAUGUUUUACGUGGUGACCAUGGGUAUCUAGUAGGAUCGCAUCUUACUUACGCAAACACCACAACGGAGAUAUAUGAGUUGCUAUUUAACCUCAUCCAAGGACCUCCUCGUUCAAAUCCGAUUCAACUAAAGUUGGAGAAACUGACACUUGCCAGUCAUCUUUGAGCAACGGGGUUACUCGUAGCGAUGAAACCAGUCUCUCGUAAGCGUACGAGUAAUGUCGGUCCAAGCCGCUUCAAUCCAACAAUACCGCGGAAUCCAGAAAAGACUAAGGAGGGCAGCAAAACGCACAUCACCGCCCACAAAAACUUUUGUGUUCUACUCGAGAAGACAUCUACGCAUGAACCUAGAUCAUGAUGCCACUGUUGGGGAACGUCGCAUGGGAAACAAAAAUUUUCCUACGCGCACGAAGACCUAUCAUGGUGAUGUCCAUCUACGAGAGGGGAUGUGUGAUCUACGUACCCUUGUAGACCGUACAACAGAAGCGUUUGUGAACGCGGUUGAUGUAGUGGAACGUCCUCACGUCCCUCGAUCCGCCCCGCGAACCGUCCCGCGAUCAGUCCCACGAUCUAGUGUCGAACGGACGACACCUCCGUGUUCAGCACACGUACAGCUCGACGAUGAUCUCGGCCUUCUUGAUCCAGCAAGAGAGACGGAGAGGUAGAAGAGUUCUCCGGCAGCGUGACGGCGCUCCGGAGGUUGGUGGUGAUCUUAUCUCAGCAGGGCUCCG
RNAcentral lists this long non-coding RNA (7227 nucleotides) under Hordeum vulgare. RNAcentral describes it as "long non-coding RNA (HVUL_LNC013297)". Lineage: Eukaryota; Viridiplantae; Streptophyta; Magnoliopsida; Poales; Poaceae. The record is from RNAcentral.